RNAcentral lists this long non-coding RNA (3841 nucleotides) under Homo sapiens (human). RNAcentral describes it as "HSALNT0382918". Lineage: Eukaryota; Metazoa; Chordata; Mammalia; Primates; Hominidae. The record is from RNAcentral.
GACUUGUUCUUGCCUUCUAAAGCAGAGAGGAGCUUUUGUGGGUAGUUCCUACAGGGAUACAUGGUAGAAAAUUCACCAAACCCAGUGCUGGAGUGACAUGCUCUGGAGUCAGAAGACAGCGAAAAGAGAAGCAGAAGCCCCGGUGGCAAGAGUCUGAAGCAGGAAGGAUGACUGUAGCCUGUGGAUUGUACUGCAGUAGGAAACUGUCCUAGCAAGGCUCCACUUUGCCCCAGCUUCAAGCUGGAAAGGAGGAGAACAUGAAACAUUGCUUGAAGACAAUGGCCGAGACAGCAGGUCCCACCCUGCACAGCCACCAGCAUCUCUCCCCUCAGCCCUGUCUCCUCUUCUGCAGUUGGGAUCUGCACAUUUAAGCCUGAAAUUGUCCUGUGAAGUGAAGUAUGAUCGGACAGCCUCUUUUCAGCUUUUAUGACAAUGGAGACAGAGGAAUUGUGGCUCUUGCCAAGGUCACAGGAUUGGAAUACAGAGCCAAGCCACCCCAGGACAUGCAAGAGCCUCAGAAGGGAAAAAAGCCCAGCAGGAAGGGAGAACAAGUAGCCUCUGUCCUGAAGUUGUAACAGCCAGGGGCCAGGAUGGAGGAGGAGGACCCCAUAAUCUGCCCAUCUGGGACUUGGCAGGGGACCUGGGAAAAUGUACCCCAACCCAUCCCUUAAGGGCCUUUGUCUUUGGCCCAUUGGCCUAGCAUCUACUUCUUCACCGUGUCUGUUCUUGUCACACCUAGUCAGGUCUGUUUGGGUCUGAGGUGCAUGGAACAUUCUGGGUAGGCCUCCAGCAAACGGAAGCUCUUCACCGUGUUUCCAGCCUGGGACCAAGGGCAGCAUACUGGCAAAGUUGCCAAAGCAAGGGACUCCAGCCUCUUAGGAGUUAAUGACUCCCUCUCCCCAGCUGUCCUCCCCUUGGUGCUCCUCUUCCUCCCUCCUCCUGCUCACAGCAGGCAGGGCCUAGACCCGGGAGCCAUGCUGCUGUGCUGUUGCCAGGGGAGCACGGAGGCAGAUCUGAGCUAUGCAGGGAAAAGGCCCAGCCUGUCAAAGUGUCUGAGAUGAACCGCCGCCGUCCCUGUGCAGCUGGGCUCAGACGUGUCUCAGCUCUUGUUCUGUGCCUGAGAAUGGCGAAACCCAGUGAGGUUCAAGGGCAAACUCGCUAUUCAUUAGUCAGGGGUUCUUGACGUCCCGUCUCUCCCAGGGAUGAGUUCCCCCCUCCUCUUUCUCCCCCUCCUAUGACACAUUCCUGGGUGCCUUUGGUGAGGACUGCACACCCUCCUCCUGCCUAGCCCCCUCUCCAAAGGCCCCUGAAUAAACUCCCCCCAAGGAGACCAGGCAGGGCAGAGACAAUGGCUGCAGGAAAUCAUUCAGGCGGGACAUGCUGGCCUGCCCUCCACCCAGUCCCCCUGUGGGCCCCACUCCCUUCUGAUUCAGGGCACCCUUGGGCCCCCAGCCUAUACAGGCCUGGACAGGAAGAAACCACUGGGAACCACCCUAAGGACAACAUGCUAGUCCAGUGCCAUUCUUCGCUGGCUCUGUGGGUGCCUUUGUGGCCUGUACCGACUGGCUGGCUAAUUUUGUGGUUUCUGUACCAUCACAUGCCUAUUUUAAGACACUCUCCAGCACUGUCGGUUAGGGAGUGUAAAUUUUGCAAUAUUUUCUGAAAUGUGGCAAUAUCAAAAUGUAAAAGGCACACAUACUUGGUCACAAACAAAUGGCACUAUUUACUCUGUGGGCAUAUUUGUAAAAGUUGCCAAAGAAUUAUAUACAAGGAUGUUCAUCAGAGCAUUUCUUUUGAAGAGUAAAGAAAUGGACAUGAACCUGUGGUCCGUUCAUACGGUGGAAUACCUAUGCAGCUGUAAAAAUCAGUGUGGUAGAUCUCCGUAUAUGAGUUGAUGUGGAAGGUUGGCCAGUUCACAUGAUAAGGUGAAUAGAAUAAGUUACAGAACAGGCUGUAGAGUAUGAUCUUAUUUGUAGAUGUUUAAAACUGAGUCAUAAGUAUGCUUAUAUACAGAUCGUUUCUGGAAGUAUGUACUGGAAGUCUACCUCUGGGGAGUGGGGAUGGGGGAGUGCACUCUUCUAUACUGUUAUAUUUUCUUUUCAUGCUCCUAAGGUACUUUUAUUGGAAGAUGUAAAGCGGUUCAAUGUAAUAGGCUUAACUUCUGUCAACUAAGUUGGCGUGGGUGCUUUAAGAGGGUGGUAGUGAUGUUGCUGGAGAAAGUAUCCCACAGUCACUGGUGGCUUCAGCCACGGGCCAUUUUGGGGCCUAAUAAUCACAUAUCAUCAUGGUUGCUAGUGUUAAUCGAAAACCUACUAAGUGCCAGGCUUACUGUCUCUGGGUCUUGCUUACGUGGAUGUCAUUUUUCCAGUUGCACCAAAUCGAAAGAGGUUAAUUGGUUUGUUGGAGUUCCUUUGUAGGUGAAGGGCAGAGCCAGGAGCUUGGCUAGGGACAGGGGAGGUGAGUGGGGGAUGGUGGAUAGGUCUUGGCUCCCAGUUUCCUUCUGGGCAGACAUUGCCCCUCUGCCCUGAGGACCUGCUUGUUUGGGGGAAGAGGCCUUUAGAGGCACCAGGGUCAUGCCAGGUGUUGGACAUGGUGAACUGGGAAGUGCUCCCAUCUGGCCACAGCGCAGAAGUAUCACCGUGCUGGGGGAUGGGGAACAGGGCUGUGAAUGGGCCUAUUUGCAUAAGCAGCAUGUGUCUGGAGAGAAAGACAUCACAGAGCAGAAGAGUGCGGGUGCCCAGGAGUGCACUUGCCACCCCUACUUCAUCCCUGAAAGAGUAAAUGGCCUGGAAGGUGUCUCUGAGAGGUAAUGCCGCACACCACCCUCCCUGGGGGCAGGGUCAGGCUACACCUGCCUUAGGUCGGGGGCUGCAGCAGCCUGAGAGCUCUCAGUAGGGCCUCAGUAGCCUGGGAGGGAGCAGGGGCAGGGGGCAGGGAAAGAGGCGUAAUGGGGCUGUCCAGAGGGGCCUGGGAAACCUGGUCCCUGAGGCCUGGGCACAGCUACAAUCACUUCAAAUUGGCUGUGGGGCCAGUGGACUGGGAAGGAAAAAAGCAAUAAGAGUGACCAAGUGCAGAAGGCUGUCAGGUCCCAGGUCACAUGCCUUAGUGCAGUGACUCCUCAUCAUUUUAUGGGGUGUGGGUGUCGUUGGUACACCCAUUUUACAGAUGAGGACACCGAGGCCCAGAAAAGUUAAGUUACAUGUCCUAAGUCACACAGCUUGUAAGUGCCAGAACUGAGAUCAAAACCAAGUCUCUUUGACUUUAAAGUCUGUACUCUGACCCCAAAGAGAUCCUGUUUGGCCACUUAUAGGAGGUCCCUAAAGCUGCAGACUCCCCUUGCCGGCACCCACAUAUAGAGACAUUAACCCUUCCCCUGCAGGGUCACCUCAAAUAGUCUUUUAGCUGGGCUUCUCCUGCAAUUCCACCUAAUGCCAUCCCCUGGGUUUUGCCCAAACCUGAACUGGGCAGUGGGGUGAGAGGAGGGGUUUACAGGGUUACAGAGCCUCAUACAGAUAGGAGCCCAUGGCUGCUGGUCAUCUGCAUUCCUGCAGGAUUGGCUGUUCCUUGGGGUCCUUGGCAGGAAAAUGAGGAUUGCUCCGAGGCCUGCUCCAGUACUUCCCAGAGGCUGGCCUGGUGUGGGGCUCUGGGAAGGCUGAGGCUGGAGAAGCGUAAGUAGGAGGGCAGAGAUGGCACUCAGGUAGCUUGAAUCACCAGGACCCUUCCAAGCCCCACAGGUUCUGAGGGAGUACUAGGGCCAGCUCUGGGAGAGGUCUCUUCCUAUGCUGUGAACCCCCUGCCUUUCUUGCAGCCUACAACGAAUAAAUUUUCUUUGCAAAGGCUU